GGGGGGGGGUGGGGGCGGGGCUGGGGGAGGCAAGUCGGGCGGCCGGACGAGGAGCUUGCUCCGCUGAAGGUAGCGGCGGACGGGUGAGUAACACGUGGAUAACCUACCUAUAAGACUGGGAUAACUUCGGGAAACCGGAGCUAAUACCGGAUAAUAUAUUGAACCGCAUGGUUCAAUAGUGAAAGACGGUUUUGCUGUCACUUAUAGAUGGAUCCGCGCCGCAUUAGCUAGUUGGUAAGGUAACGGCUUACCAAGGCAACGAUGCGUAGCCGACCUGAGAGGGUGAUCGGCCACACUGGAACUGAGACACAGUCCAGACUCCUACGGGAGGCAGCAGUAGGGAAUCUUCCGCAAUGGGCGAAAGCCUGACGGAGCAACGCCGCGUGAGUGAUGAAGGUCUUCGGAUCGUAAAACUCUGUUAUUAGGGAAGAACAAAUGUGUAAGUAACUAUGCACGUCUUGACGGUACCUAAUCAGAAAGCCACGGCUAACUACGUG
RNAcentral lists this ribosomal RNA (497 nucleotides) under uncultured bacterium. Its description in RNAcentral is "partial 16S ribosomal RNA". It matches the Rfam family "Bacterial small subunit ribosomal RNA", at positions 35 to 507 of the family's 1533-position model. The record is from RNAcentral.